GCCCUUGUAGCUCAAUGGUCAGAGCACUCGCCUUUUAAGCGAUAGGUUGCCGGUUCAAGUCCGGCCGGGGGCA
This 73-nucleotide transfer RNA is filed under the name Armatimonadota bacterium. Its description in RNAcentral is "Armatimonadetes bacterium tRNA-Lys". It matches the Rfam family "tRNA". Rfam says of the family: Transfer RNA (tRNA) molecules are approximately 80 nucleotides in length. Their secondary structure includes four short double-helical elements and three loops (D, anti-codon, and T loops). The record is from RNAcentral. Lineage: Bacteria; Bacillati; Armatimonadota.